Molecule: non-coding RNA, 31 nt
Filed under: Rattus norvegicus (Norway rat)
Lineage: Eukaryota; Metazoa; Chordata; Mammalia; Rodentia; Muridae
Source: RNAcentral
UAGACGUGUCUCAGACUCAAUUCCUUGGUGA